Molecule: long non-coding RNA, 329 nt
Filed under: Chloebia gouldiae (Gouldian finch)
Lineage: Eukaryota; Metazoa; Chordata; Aves; Passeriformes; Passeridae
Description: Erythrura gouldiae (Gouldian finch) lncRNA (ENSEGOG00005011596.1)
Source: RNAcentral
GGGCAGGACCUGCCUGCACGCCGCCGCCUCCGGAGGGAACGUCGAGUGCCUGAACCUGCUGCUGAGCAGCGGCGCCGACCUGAGGAGGAAGGACAAGUUCGGGAGGACCCCCCUGCACUACGCGGCGGCCAACGGCAGCUACCAGUGCGCGGUGACGCUGGUGACGGCCGGCGCCGCCGUCAACGAGCCCGACGGCAAAGGCUGCAGCGCCCUGCACUACGCGGCCGCCUCCGACACCUACCGCAGGUGAGCGCCGCCGCGGGCACCGCGGGCACCGGCAAUGGCACCGUGGGCACCGGCAAUGGCGCCGCGGGCACAGGCAAUGGCAC